This 670-nucleotide ribosomal RNA is filed under the name Inocybe auricoma. Its description in RNAcentral is "eukaryotic LSU rRNA". It matches the Rfam family "Eukaryotic large subunit ribosomal RNA", at positions 1 to 653 of the family's 3401-position model. Lineage: Eukaryota; Fungi; Basidiomycota; Agaricomycetes; Agaricales; Inocybaceae. The record is from RNAcentral. RNAcentral also lists the same sequence under 1 other name.
UUGACCUCAAAUCAGGUAGGACUACCCGCUGAACUUAAGCAUAUCAAUAAGCGGAGGAAAAGAAACUAACAAGGAUUCCCCUAGUAACUGCGAGUGAAGCGGGAAGAGCUCAAAUUUGAAAUCUGGCGGUUUCUGACCGUCCGAGUUGUAAUCUAGAGAAGUGCUACCUGUGCUGGACCGUGUACAAGUCUCCUGGAAUGGAGCAUCACAGAGGGUGAGAAUCCCGUCUUUGACACGGACUGCCUGUACGUUAUGGUGCGCUCUCGAAGAGUCGAGUUGUUUGGGAAUGCAGCUCAAAAUGGGUGGUAAAUGCCAUCUAAAGCUAAAUAUUGGCGAGAGACCGAUAGCGAACAAGUACCGUGAGGGAAAGAUGAAAAGAACUUUGGAAAGAGAGUUAAACAGUACGUGAAAUUGCUGAAAGGGAAACGCUUGAAGUCAGUCACGUCAGCUAGAAAUCAGCCUUGCUUUUGCUUGGUGUACUUUCUUGCUGAUGGGUCAGCAUCAAUUUUGACCAUUGGAUAAAGUCGUUGGGAAUGUGGCAUCCUUGGAUGUGUUAUAGCCCAGUGUCGCAUACAAUGGUUGGGAUUGAGGAACUCAGCACGCCGCAAGGCCGGGUUUCAAACCACGUUCGUGCUUAGGAUGCUGGCAUAAUGGCUUUAAUCGACCCGUC